UGGAUUUAGAAAAGUGUGGUAGUGCCUUGUUAAGCCCAACCCACCGAGUGACUCACCAAUGCAUGAGGCAUCAGCUACAGCCUACAGUUACCUCAACAAUCUGUCUCUACCGGAUUUAAUCAGCAAAACUCAAUUUGAAUCCCCAAUAGUCAAUAGAUGCAGAUAAGGAAAUGAAGAUAUUCGGAAAAUAUGUAUAUCCAAGGCAGCUAAUUCUUAUGGGUUGUGGGGUUUUGUUCUUGGCUUCGACAACAUAUGAUAUUCAUAGAUCCAUCAAGAACAAUCAGAUUCCUCCUUCACAGGAACAAAUUCAAGCUCUUGAAGAUUAUGUCAAUUCCAAACGACGCCCAUCUGCUUGAUCAUCAACCCUAUUGUUCUUUUACAAGAUUCGGUGUUGUACUUGCAAUUCAAUAUUCAUGAUCGAGUAUAUUACAUAUAAUUUUUAUCUUUAA
Molecule: long non-coding RNA, 449 nt
Organism: Mercurialis annua (annual mercury)
Lineage: Eukaryota; Viridiplantae; Streptophyta; Magnoliopsida; Malpighiales; Euphorbiaceae
Exons: 2
Source: RefSeq, a predicted model, not a curated record